GUACUGUUUAUAGUUUGAUUCACAGCAUUGCCGGCGACAUGGGCAUUGGGAGGAAGGGCGGCUGUAUGUGAUCACAGGAGCCGGUAGGGGUUCGAGGCGGAACGGGGGAGGCCGGCUGCCUUUCUUUAGAGCAGACACUCUUAUCCAGAUGAAGGGUGAUCUCUGAAGACCUCUGAUAUAUGCUUCUUGAGCUCACCAACUGUGGCAUUGCUGUCCAAAAUCAGACAUUUCUUAUCACCAUUCAACUGUUACUUCCUGAUCCAUGUGCCUUAGGAAUGCUGCAUGGAUGCUUGAGGACUGCAGAUUUGGCCAGGACAAUAAAUUGCUAUGUCUGUACUGUGAGACACCUAAGAGACAGGAAGGACAGUUGAUCGUCCUUGCAGUGGCAGACAACGUGUAACAACUCCUGCACAGGAUCGUUACAUCCGUAUAUCACACCUGCGGGAAAGGUACAGGAUGGCAACAAAAACUGCCCAAGUUACACCAGGAACACACAAUCCCUCCAUCACUACUCAGAAUGUCCGCAAUAGGCUGAGAGAGGCUGGACUGAGGGUUGUAGGCCUGUUGUAAGGCAGGUCCUUACCAGACAUCACUGGCAACAACGUUGCCUAUUGGCACAAACCCACCUUAGCUGGACCAGGCAGGACUGGCAAAAUGUGCUCUUCACUGACAAGUUGAGGUUUUGUCUCUCAGGGGCAAUGGUCUGACUCACAUUUAUCGUUGAAGGAAUGAGCAUUACACCGAGGCCUAUCCUCUAGAGCGGGAUUGAUUUGGAGGUGGAGUUUCCAUCAUGGUCUGGGGCGGUGUGUCACAGCAUCAUCUGACUGAACUUGUUGUCAUUGCAGGCAAUCUCAACUCUAUGCGUUACAGGGAAGACAUCCUCCUCCAUCAUGUGGUACCCGUCCUGCAGGCUCAUCAUGACAUUGCCCUGUAACAUGACAAUGCCACCAGCCACACUGCUCGUUCUCUGCAUGAUUUCCUGAAAGACAGGGGUGUCAGUGUUCUGCCAUGGCCAGCGAAGAGGCUGGAUCUGGCAUGUCUGGAACCUGUUGGAUUGGAGGGUGAGGGUCAGGGCCAUUCCCCCAGAAAUGUCCAGGAACUUGCAAGUGUGUUGGUGGAAUUGUGGGGUAACAUCUCACAGCAAGAACUGGCAAAUCUGGUACAGUCCAUGAGGAUGAGAUGCACAGCAGUACUUAAUGCAGCUGGUGGCCACACCAGACACUGACUGCUGCUUUUGAUUUUGACCCCCCCCCCUCCCCGUUCAGGGACACAUUAUUCAAUUUCUGUUAGUCGCAUGUCAGUGAAGCUUGUUCAUCUUAUGUCUUUGUUGUUGAGUCUAUUUAUUUUCAUACAAAU
Long non-coding RNA from Xyrauchen texanus (razorback sucker), 1356 nucleotides. RefSeq lists it as uncharacterized. NCBI's taxonomy places the organism in Eukaryota, Metazoa, Chordata, Actinopteri, Cypriniformes, Catostomidae. The record is from RefSeq and is a predicted model, not a curated record. The transcript is spliced from 3 exons.